UGCGCAAGUCAUUAGGAUUAACUAAACCUAAAGGCGAAAUGAAAGUAAAUGGUUACAUUUUGUGACCAUAGGGCAGAUGUAUAUUGGUAAGCCAAUGUACCGCAUGCCUGGGGCGUCCCGUUCUCAUUGCGAGAUGGGGCGCACCUAGAGCGUACACGCUGGGACCCGAAAGAUGGUGAACUAUGCCUGGUCAGGACGAAGUCAGGGGAAACCCUGAUGGAGGUCCGUAGCGAUUCUGACGUGCAAAUCGAUCGUCAGAACUGGGUAUAGGGGCGAAAGACUAAUCGAACCAUCUAGUAGCUGGUUCCCUCCGAAGUUUCCCUCAGGAUAGCUGGCGCUCAUUGUGUGCGAGUCUCAUCCGGUAAAGCGAAUGAUUAGAGGCAUUGGGGUCGAAACGGCCUCAACCUAUUCUCAAACUUUAAAUGGGUGAGAUCUUCGGCUUUUUUGAAUUAUAAAGCCGCAAGAUUUCGGAUCAGAGUGCCAAGUGGGCCACUUUUGGUAAGCAGAACUGGCGCUGUGGGAUGAACCAAACGACGAGUUAAAGCGCCUAAAUCGAUGCUUAUGGGACACCAUGAAAGGCGUUG
Molecule: ribosomal RNA, 584 nt
Filed under: Gymnochthebius probus
Lineage: Eukaryota; Metazoa; Arthropoda; Insecta; Coleoptera; Hydraenidae
Description: eukaryotic LSU rRNA
Rfam family: Eukaryotic large subunit ribosomal RNA
Source: RNAcentral